This is a long non-coding RNA of Triticum dicoccoides, 1236 nucleotides long. RefSeq lists it as uncharacterized. NCBI's taxonomy places the organism in Eukaryota, Viridiplantae, Streptophyta, Magnoliopsida, Poales, Poaceae. The record is from RefSeq and is a predicted model, not a curated record. The transcript has 6 exons.
CAGUAACAUGAAAUAUCGUGUCAGUGUUGGAAGGCAUAUCAUUCCUGGUAAUCUUGUGCUCACAAGCCAUCUUGAUUUACCUGGACCCUGACACUUGAUGUCUUGAGCAAGGAUGGCUUCUUUGAGAGUGACCCAGACCUGUAUCAGAAGGUGGCACGAAGCGUGUAUGCUGUGCUGGAGAGGAUGAACGCGCACGCUGGGAAGGUGCACGGGCAAUCGACCGGAGCUUGCUGCAAAUGAUAGCUGUCAGUUUGGCAACUCAGCUGCAAAAUCCUUACAGCUGAAGGCUGGAUGCAUCUGUGUGGUCCUGUUCUUCACCUUAUUCAUCUCGCUGAAGUUGGGCACAGCAUUCGGAAUUGAAUCAUCUCCUGCUGAAAUCACUUAAGGGGUCAAGAUGUCUCGCCCAGGUUGACUCUUAUUCACUUCUCUUGCAUCUUCAACGUGUCGACAAGCUAGAAAACAGAGUCACAGGAAAGGCACAAAAAUAUCUUAUGGCUACUUACUCACCUGGAGACCCGCAGAUUGGCUUCGGCCACCUGGUCGAACCUUUGACCAACAAGGCUGGAGACUUUGAAGGAUAUGGACCCUAGGUGGUCUACAGUGUUGACGAGGGCCUUCACAGCGUACUCCUUCAGGUCUCGUUUGAUGAGGAAGCUGGAUGGGAGUACAGGAUGAUACUAUGGCGAUGGUGGUGCAGAAGUGGGGAAGCACUCAUGGCGAUGAAUUCAACGAGCUGGGAGGAAGAAGGCCGCGGGGGUUAGUCAUUAGCACGACAGGGCAGGGGAGGGCAGCUACCCACUGGAUCCAGAAGAAGUGCUUUGUUUUCCCAUAGCACUGUACCAUAUAGGCUCAACUCCAAGCAAGAACCUUGGGGGAUUAACUAGUGGUAUUUCCUCUGUCUGGGACAUGAUUGGCUUUCGCCUUGAUUAAGCAAAGUCAAAAGUGCUCUGUCCUCUGUGUCUCUCGCCCAUGGUUGCAACUAGUAGCAUAUUGUUUUAUGGCAGUUGUGUCUGGUCAUUGCUUUCACACUGCCUGGGCUGGGCCAACGGCUCGGGAAUCUGGAGCCUGCUUGUGUACCGCUGAUUCAACCGAAACUGGCGCACAUUGCGCCGGAUCAGCAGGCAGGCAGGCAGGUGUACCUGGUGCUGGAUAAAUAGAUGCAUAUGUUGUAUGGAAAUUGUGGUGAUUGAAUGGCAGAUGUUACUGCCAAGACGUAAAUCAAAAUUGUCUAUGUUU